This 397-nucleotide ribosomal RNA is filed under the name uncultured bacterium. RNAcentral's name for it is "bacterial SSU rRNA". It matches the Rfam family "Bacterial small subunit ribosomal RNA", at positions 521 to 916 of the family's 1533-position model. The record is from RNAcentral.
UAAUACGUAGGGUGCGAGCGUUAAUCGGAAUUACUGGGCGUAAAGCGUGCGCAGGCGGUUGUGUAAGACAGGUGUGAAAUCCCCGGGCUUAACCUGGGAACUGCGCUUGUGACUGCACAGCUAGAGUAUGGCAGAGGGGGGUGGAAUUCCACGUGUAGCAGUGAAAUGCGUAGAGAUGUGGAGGAACACCGAUGGCGAAGGCAGCCCCCUGGGCCAAUACUGACGCUCAUGCACGAAAGCGUGGGGAGCAAACAGGAUUAGAUACCCUGGUAGUCCACGCCCUAAACGAUGUCGACUAGGUGUUCGGUGAGGAGACUCAUUGAGUACCGCAGCUAACGCGUGAAGUCGACCGCCUGGGGAGUACGGUCGCAAGAUUAAAACUUAAAUGAAUUGACGG